Molecule: ribosomal RNA, 468 nt
Filed under: uncultured bacterium
Lineage: Bacteria
Description: partial 16S ribosomal RNA
Rfam family: Bacterial small subunit ribosomal RNA
Source: RNAcentral
GACGAACGCUGGCGACGUGCUUAACACAUGCAAGUCGAACGGAAAGGCCCUGCUUUUGUGGGGUGCUCGAGUGGCGAACGGGUGAGUAACACGUGAGUAACCUGCCCUUGACUUUGGGAUAACUUCGGGAAACUGGGGCUAAUACCGGAUAGGAGCUCCUGCUGCAUGGUGGGGGUUGGAAAGUUUCGGCGGUUGGGGAUGGACUCGCGGCUUAUCAGCUUGUUGGUGGGGUAGUGGCUUACCAAGGCUUUGACGGGUAGCCGGCCUGAGAGGGUGACCGGCCACAUUGGGACUGAGAUACGGCCCAGACUCCUACGGGAGGCAGCAGUGGGGAAUAUUGCACAAUGGGCGGAAGCCUGAUGCAGCAACGCCGCGUGCGGGAUGACGGCCUUCGGGUUGUAAACCGCUUUCGCCUGUGACGAAGCGUGAGUGACGGUAAUGGGUAAAGAAGCACCGGCUAACUACGUG